CGGGAUAGCUCACCUGGAAAAGCAAAGGACUGAAAAUCCUCGUGUC
RNAcentral lists this transfer RNA (46 nucleotides) under Turnera luetzelburgii var. dubia. RNAcentral describes it as "partial tRNA-Phe". Lineage: Eukaryota; Viridiplantae; Streptophyta; Magnoliopsida; Malpighiales; Passifloraceae. The record is from RNAcentral.